This 537-nucleotide ribosomal RNA is filed under the name uncultured bacterium. RNAcentral describes it as "bacterial SSU rRNA". It matches the Rfam family "Bacterial small subunit ribosomal RNA", at positions 777 to 1315 of the family's 1533-position model. The record is from RNAcentral.
AAUAGAUACCCUGGUAGUCCACGCCGUAAACGUUGGAUACUAGGUGUGGCGGUUAUACCAAUGACUGCCGUGCCGAAGCUAACGCAUUAAGUAUCCCGCCUGGGGAGUACGGCCGCAAGGCUAAAACUCAAAGGAAUUGACGGGUCCCCGCACAAGCGGCGGAGCAUGCGGCUUAAUUCGAUGCAACCCGAAGAACCUUACCUGGGUUUGACAUCACGGGAAAAGCUGUAGAAAUACAGUGUCCGUAAGGGCCCGUGACAGGUGGUGCAUGGCUGUCGUCAGCUCGUGUCGUGAGAUGUUGGGUUAAGUCCCGCAACGAGCGCAACCCUUGUCCUAUGUUGCCAGCAGUUCGACUGGGGACUCGUAGGAGACUGCCGGGGAUAACUCGGAGGAAGGUGAGGACGACGUCAAGUCAUCAUGCCCCUUAUAUCCAGGGCUGCACGCAUGCUACAAUGGCCGGUACAACGGGCAGCGACCCCGCAAGGGUGAGCGAAUCCUAUAAAGCCGGUCCAGUUCGGAUUGAAGUCUGCAACUCGA